CAACUGCCUGCCGGCGCGGCACAGCGCGGCGCGCUGCGAGCGAGCGACCCAGCCACCUGCAGGCAGCCGGCAGCCCCCAGCCAAUAGCUGCUUCCCAGGCGGCCCCGCAGCGCAGUGCCGCAGCGGGCAGAGUCCCGUUCGCCCCAACUCCGCACCCAGGGUUUGAAAAACAAACCGGAAGAAGGAUUUCAGCACCAGAUAAAGACUAUGAUAGUAUAAAGAGAAGCAAGGUGACAAUGACAGAUAUGGCUUACAAUUUACAAACGCUGUCUGAACUACAACCAUUUCCACAAACUGUCCUCUAAUCCAAAGAGGCAUCUUCCAGUUAAGCUUGCUCAUUAAACCACAUACAUGUGACAGUGA
Molecule: long non-coding RNA, 363 nt
Organism: Dromaius novaehollandiae (emu)
Lineage: Eukaryota; Metazoa; Chordata; Aves; Casuariiformes; Dromaiidae
Exons: 2
Source: RefSeq, a predicted model, not a curated record